This 292-nucleotide ribosomal RNA is filed under the name uncultured bacterium. Its description in RNAcentral is "partial 16S ribosomal RNA". It matches the Rfam family "Bacterial small subunit ribosomal RNA", at positions 505 to 796 of the family's 1533-position model. The record is from RNAcentral.
GUGCCAGCAGCCGCGGUAAUACGAAGGGGGCUAGCGUUGCUCGGAAUCACUGGGCGUAAAGGGCGCGUAGGCGGGCUCUUAAGUCAGGGGUGAAAGCCCAAGGCUCAACCUUGGAAUUGCCUUUGAUACUGAGGGCCUUGAGACCGGAAGAGGUCGGCGGAACUGCGAGUGUAGAGGUGAAAUUCGUAGAUAUUCGCAAGAACACCAGUGGCGAAGGCGGCCGACUGGUCCGGUUCUGACGCUGAGGCGCGAAAGCGUGGGGAGCAAACAGGAUUAGAAACCCCAGUAGUCC